Molecule: non-coding RNA, 58 nt
Filed under: Ophiostoma ulmi
Lineage: Eukaryota; Fungi; Ascomycota; Sordariomycetes; Ophiostomatales; Ophiostomataceae
Also listed under: 46 other names
Description: partial 18S ribosomal RNA
Rfam family: Eukaryotic small subunit ribosomal RNA
Source: RNAcentral
UAGAGGAAGUAAAAGUCGUAACAAGGUCUCCGUUGGUGAACCAGCGGAGGGAUCAUUA